RNAcentral lists this transfer RNA (72 nucleotides) under Ictidomys tridecemlineatus (thirteen-lined ground squirrel). RNAcentral's name for it is "Spermophilus tridecemlineatus (thirteen-lined ground squirrel) tRNA". It matches the Rfam family "tRNA". Rfam says of the family: Transfer RNA (tRNA) molecules are approximately 80 nucleotides in length. Their secondary structure includes four short double-helical elements and three loops (D, anti-codon, and T loops). Lineage: Eukaryota; Metazoa; Chordata; Mammalia; Rodentia; Sciuridae. The record is from Rfam by way of RNAcentral. RNAcentral also lists the same sequence under 1 other name.
GGGGGUGUAGCUCAGUGUUAGAGUACUUGUCUAGCAUGCUUGAGGCCCUGGGUUUGAUCCCCAGCACCACAA